This 1178-nucleotide long non-coding RNA is filed under the name Monodon monoceros (narwhal). Its description in RNAcentral is "lncRNA (ENSMMNG00015006407.1)". The record is from RNAcentral. Lineage: Eukaryota; Metazoa; Chordata; Mammalia; Artiodactyla; Monodontidae.
AUUUUCUCAUAUCGUCUCACAAGAGGUGAAUGCAGUGUGAGCCCAUUUUACAGAUGAGGAAAUUAAAGUAGGAGAACUUUAAUAAUUUGUUUAAACAGCCAAAAAAUAGGAUCCAAAAAGGAUUCUGAGAUUUAAACCCAGGCUUUCGGAUUCCAGCACUGGCUCAUGCCUCUUAGUCGUCAUGGAGGAGGGAGGAAGGGAAUCACUGGUUGAGAACCCUCCCCCAUUAGGUGUCAGGUACUGGGAUGUACGCAGUUACAUGUUAUCCCAUGGUAUUCCCCACAACAACAGUGACAGGUGGUUUUCCUUGUUUCCAUUUUACAGGUGAGAAAAUUGAGGCCCAGAAGUAGCUUGCCCCAAGUCACAACCCCAGAGCUAUUUGUGCCUCAUAGCCCAGAACUUGACUCACAAAGUAGUUGAGAAAAGUGUGGAAUGACCCCAGAUUCUGGAAGGCAAGCCUGGCUUUAUAAGCUGAAAUUCCCUACCAGGUGAUAGGAAGGGCGGGCAGUGAAGAUUCUCAUAUUCCAAACAUCCCCCCCCCCCCCGCCCCCGACCACCACCAUCAGACACACACCACUAUGCGGACUGGCAGAAUUACAGAGGUGAAUGCGCUGUCAGCUGGCUUGGCCACUCCAGGGGUUUAAGGCCCAUAAAAUGUAAAUAUAUGAGCUGGGAAGUGGAGAAGGUAGACUAAAUCAUUGUUCACUAGCUGGAAUGCAUUUCUCAGAUUAGCUAAGCAGUAGCGGGCCAGAGGGCUCCAAGCUGGGUGACCUGCCUUCUUGGUGGCAAGCUACGGCCAGUGGCUGGAGAGGGGGCCACUGGUACAGGAGGGUAAGGAGGGGACACUGGAGAAAGGGGAGGAAGGCCUCCCAGUACUGCAGCUCAGGGUGUGCCAGGUCCCACCCCCCAGAGGCGGGGCCAGGCUGAUCCCCGCCAGCCUCAGCUCCAUCCCUCCAGGAACCCAGGCGAGGGCAGAGCCAGGGAGAGCAGUGGAGAGCCGGGGCCCUGCUGUCCUCGCACAGUGGAGGUACCAUGCCCUCACCGGUCAGGACACCAGACAUCGCCAGAAGCCCUGCAGCGCUGGCUGCGGCAACUCCCUGACACUCAGAGGAAAGCCCAGGCUGGGGGAGCAACACCUGUCCCUCACAGCCAUGCAUGCCCGCUGUUGCUCCAGGCCU